UACGUCGGUUGCGAGCGUUGUCCGGAAUUACUGGGCGUAAAGAGCUCGUAGGUGGUUUGUCGCGUUGUUCGUGAAAUCUCACGGCUUAACUGUGAGCGUGCGGGCGAUACGGGCAGACUAGAGUACUGCAGGGGAGACUGGAAUUCCUGGUGUAGCGGUGGAAUGCGCAGAUAUCAGGAGGAACACAGGUGGCGAAGGCGGGUCUCUGGGCAGUAACUGACGCUGAGGAGCGAAAGCGUGGGGAGCGAACAGG
This 253-nucleotide ribosomal RNA is filed under the name uncultured bacterium. Its description in RNAcentral is "partial 16S ribosomal RNA". It matches the Rfam family "Bacterial small subunit ribosomal RNA", at positions 524 to 776 of the family's 1533-position model. The record is from RNAcentral.